GUACUACUGAAGAGUCCCAAGAAGGGCGAAACAGCCGUCCAGUAU
Molecule: non-coding RNA, 45 nt
Filed under: Trichobilharzia regenti
Lineage: Eukaryota; Metazoa; Platyhelminthes; Trematoda; Strigeidida; Schistosomatidae
Source: RNAcentral